GACGAACGCUGGCGGCGUGCUUAACACAUGCAAGUCGAACGGAAAGGCCCUGCUUUUGUGGGGUGCUCGAGUGGCGAACGGGUGAGUAACACGUGAGUAACCUGCCCUUGACUUUGGGAUAACUUCAGGAAACUGGGGCUAAUACCGGAUAGGAGCUCCUGCUGCAUGGUGGGGGUUGGAAAGUUUCGGCGGUUGGGGAUGGACUCGCGGCUUAUCAGCUUGUUGGUGGGGUAGUGGCUUACCAAGGCUUUGACGGGUAGCCGGCCUGAGAGGGUGACCGGCCACAUUGGGACUGAGAUACGGCCCAGAAUCCUACGGGAGGCAGCAGUGGGGAAUAUUGCACAAUGGGGCGAAGCCAGAUGCAGCAACGCCGCGUGCGGGAUGCCGGCCUUCGGGUUGUAAACCGCUUUCGCCUGUGACGAGGCGUGAGUGACGGUAAUGGGUAAAGAAGCACCGGCUAACUACGUG
RNAcentral lists this ribosomal RNA (468 nucleotides) under uncultured bacterium. RNAcentral's name for it is "partial 16S ribosomal RNA". It matches the Rfam family "Bacterial small subunit ribosomal RNA", at positions 28 to 507 of the family's 1533-position model. The record is from RNAcentral.